UGCUUAACUUGAAUGAGCAAAUAUAUUUUUUUUCCCCAUUUUACAGCUGGAAAAUGAGGAGCAGGCAAAUGUUAAGUAACUUGCUUGAGGUCACUCAGUGAGGCUCAGUGGCGUCUGGGCUCUAACUCAGAAGUUCCUGAUUCCCUGUGGCUGGGCCACAAGUUCAUAGCCGCUGGCUCACAGCAGCUUCCGGAACAGAACGAAGUUUUCCUGUAAGCCCUAGAGAGUGUUACGAUGCCACAUCAACCUAAAUGCAUUCAGAAACCAGGCUACAAGGAAGGCCAGCAACCGCAAGUUCUUAUUGCUUUAACCUUCUGCCCACAUUGAGGAAACUCACCUCCAUGUAAGUUUUGCCAAAAGAAGGAAGCAGGAAAGAUAACUCUGGGGGAAAUAUUGUAGCCUGAUAUCCAUGGAUAAAAACUCCAAGUGGGAAAAUUAACUUUUUUUUUUUUUCUGCAGUAGAAGUCACGAAAUUAAAAUCAGCAUUCCUGGCAGUGGGUGUCUGACAAAUAUUUUUGCCUUUUCACAAAUCCCAAAUCAAAAAGUACUAACUCCAAGUGAAAAUUAGAGCCGGGUCAGUGAAUGGCUGUGACUCUGUAGACCUAAAUGCUUAAUGUGCUAUAGACUUCAACAGUUAAGUCUGGGAGAUUGAAGGCAAAUCAACUUGGAUCCAGGUACAGCUAAAUCAGUUCCAAAUACUCUGGACCACAAAAUGCAGGAUUUUCUGUCUUGAUGGAUUGCAGUACACUUCGGUGGGCUCAGAAGCUGUGAGAGAAAAACAAAAUUAAAUGCUUUUAAAUCGACUCAAGCAGCUGGAUUGCUAAUAUUCAACACAUGAGAAUAAUGAUACUUGAAACUUACAUUGCAAAGAAAAAAAAGAAACAUAAAAAAUAAAAACCAUAUUCAGAGGGCUUGAUCCUGCAGGGAGAACAGAACUCGCCGUUGAGAUCACUGAGUUGUCACUACGACAUUAAGAAAAAUUGAAUACACAUUGUUUUCUAGUGAGACAUGUGGUCCUUUAGUUUAUAAUGCCUCCUUAACCUUAGUUCUACUGUGCAAUUAGACUUCCAACAUACAGAGAUCUAUUUAACAAAUACUGAAGUGUCAAGAUAUUUUAAUUUAAAGUGUAUCUUCAAUGUCCACAGCACUAUUUUAGAUACUAAGAAAACAGCAAUGCACAAGAAAACAUCCCUGCCCUCGUAGAGCUUACCUCUAAAUCGUGCCAAAACCAAAGUUAGGUAAGAUGAUGCAAAUCAUACCUCUCAAGAUAAUCAGGUCAAUGGUGGUUCCAGAAUUUCUAUAUCUAAGACUCUAACUCAGGGAUUUUGUGAUAGGAGGUGUUGAACAGGUUAUCUUAAAGCUAUAUAGGUGCAUAGUGACUUCAAACGCUCCAUAUAGAUUGUACACUUAGUUUGGGUAGUUGGGGGAGGAAGUUACUGAUAGA
This 1444-nucleotide long non-coding RNA is filed under the name Homo sapiens (human). Its description in RNAcentral is "HSALNT0272302". Lineage: Eukaryota; Metazoa; Chordata; Mammalia; Primates; Hominidae. The record is from RNAcentral.